Molecule: long non-coding RNA, 1821 nt
Filed under: Homo sapiens (human)
Lineage: Eukaryota; Metazoa; Chordata; Mammalia; Primates; Hominidae
Description: HSALNT0388615
Source: RNAcentral
UCAAGGGACAGAGAUAACUGGGGGCAUAGCCCAUGCAAAUACUCGGUGACCAGGAGAGUGGCCGUGUGGAGAAGCAGGGCAGGAAUGUGACCACCCAGCUGGGUGAGGGGCUGCUGGCGUGGAGGCAGCUGCCUGCUCAGCCCAGCCCAGCUGCAUUUUCUCCUCUUUCACCCUGGUGAGAACCAGCCUUCCUUCGGUUCUGCCUGAGGACCCUGUAGGUGCUGAAAAUGGAAUACAGCUGGCAGGUAGUGGGCGGACAGUGAAAACGUGCCCUGAUAUUAUUCUGAGAAAAAAAAAGAGCUUUAUUGCUUCUUGUCAGACUAUACUAUGUUUUAGGAAGAGUUGGGUUCCCCCAAAGAGAAGGUGCAGGGUGCUGGGAGCAGGAUCCUCAGUUUGUAAGAACGCACUCACUGCUCCAAGGCAGCCAACAAAAAAUUUUUAAAAAGGGUGAUUGAAGGUUCAACUUUUGACAUGUAAAAUCCAGUCAUAGCUUGGGUUUCCCGGAAGCAGUCCCUGAGACAGAGAUUUUAGUGCAACAGUUUAUUUGGGAGGCGAUCCUGGGAAACACCAGAAGGGAAGUGGAAAAUUGAAAUGUCGAAGGAAGCCAAUAAAAUAUGCGUUAUUGAGCAGAUGGCCCCUGUGACCAACUAGGCUCAGUAUCUCUGGGGAACCCCCAGAGACAGUGUAGAGUAAAUUCCAGAAUUAUGCCAUCCAAGGGAAAAGGGAGCUGAAUCAUUCAUCUCUCAGCUGUUGCAAGCUAUUGGUGGAGGGAUUUUCCCAAGAGGCAUUACCUCCCAGGCUUGUCCUCACUUUGCCUGUGUGGCCUCCAGUGGUCAGACAGAACCCAAAGGAAAAGAGCCAGGGUGCGGAUUGGCAGAAGCUAUUCUGGCCCAUGUGCAGAGCAUCAAGAAUGUGUGCUGCAAAAGAUCCCUAUCACGUCCUCGACUUUCCUGCAAGAGGCAGAUUAUUACAGUCCCCUGGGAGCCACUCAGGGGGAGUCUCAGGGCACAGAGGUUAUUUGAUUCAAUUACAAGAAAUCUGAUGAGUAUCUACAAGGAACUCAGAGCUGUGGGAGAAGAGAAAAAAGUGCAUGAAGUAAAGAAAAAGCAGGGAAUGAGAGAAAAAAAUGGAGGAGUGAGUGCCACAGCCCAGUCAGUAAGUGCUACGUAAGUGCCUGGAAGAGCGAGAGAGGGUGGGGACUAUGCUGGGAAGUCCAAGACGCAGGGUCUAUGUGGAUGGUAGCUAACACAAUAGUGGUCUCCCCCCAAGAAGCAAAGCAAUGGCAUAGAACUAAGAACUCUAACUCAAGACAGUUUUCCUGAAAUACAACAACUACAUUUUGAAAAUUACCAUAUUCCUGAGAAUAUUGACCCAGAAUGAUCAACACUGAGACAUAUUCUAGCAAAAUUUGGGGGCUUACAAAAAGGAAAAGAAAUCCUUUGGGCAAGAACCUGACCCCGAAAGUGAAUUCGAUUAUCAUCAGAUUUUUGACAACGAUGUUUUAUGCUAGAAAAAAAUGGAGUAACAUCUUUCAGACAGCCCCUUCCUACAGACUCUUGGAAAGAACUAGCUGUAGACAAGCAAAAUGGCUAGAGGACAGUGACACAGGGCUGGGGUUGAUAGUUACUCUAGAGCUAAGAUUAAAUGAGGGCUAAACCGGAGGCAGGACAGUGCAUAUGAUGGUUAUACGAUCUGACAAUGCAGAUAUAGGAUGACCACAAAAAUCGGGGGAAAUGGGAAAGCAUAUGAAGACAUUUUUUUGUUUGUUUUUGAGACAACCUGUUGCCCAGGCUGGAAUGCAAUGGUGGAUUCAUAACUCAC